UACGUAGGGGGCAAGCGUUGUCCGGAUUUAUUGGGCGUAAAGAGCGUGUAGGCGGCUUUGCAAGUCCGUUGUGAAAACUCGAGGCUCAACCUCGAGACGCCGGUGGAAACUGCAAAGCUAGAGUCCGGAAGAGGAGAGUGGAAUUCCUGGUGUAGCGGUGAAAUGCGCAGAUAUCAGGAAGAACACCCGUGGCUAAGGCGGCUCUCUAGUACGGUACUGACGCUGAGACGCGAAAGCGUGGGGAGCGAUCCGG
This 253-nucleotide ribosomal RNA is filed under the name uncultured bacterium. RNAcentral describes it as "partial 16S ribosomal RNA". It matches the Rfam family "Bacterial small subunit ribosomal RNA", at positions 524 to 776 of the family's 1533-position model. The record is from RNAcentral.